UCCAACUUGAGAGUUUGAUCCUGGCUCAGAACGAACGCUGGCGGCAGGCCUAACACAUGCAAGUCGAACGCCGUAGCAAUACGGAGUGGCAGACGGGUGAGUAACACGUGGGAACAUGCCCUUCGGUUCGGAAUAACUCAGGGAAACUUGAGCUAAUACCGGAUACGUCCGCAAGGAGAAAGAUUUAUUGCCGAAGGAUUGGCCCGCGUCUGAUUAGCUUGUUGGUGAGGUAAUGGCUCACCAAGGCGACGAUCAGUAGCUGGUCUGAGAGGAUGAUCAGCCACAUUGGGACUGAGACACGGCCCAAACUCCUACGGGAGGCAGCAGUGGGGAAUAUUGGACAAUGGGCGAAAG
RNAcentral lists this ribosomal RNA (354 nucleotides) under Beijerinckiaceae bacterium. Its description in RNAcentral is "bacterial SSU rRNA". It matches the Rfam family "Bacterial small subunit ribosomal RNA", at positions 1 to 381 of the family's 1533-position model. Lineage: Bacteria; Pseudomonadati; Pseudomonadota; Alphaproteobacteria; Hyphomicrobiales; Beijerinckiaceae. The record is from RNAcentral.